GUGCUCCCUUUGGCAGCACAUAUACUAAAAUUGGAAUGAUACAGAGAAGAUUAGUGUGGCUCCUGGGCAAGGAUGACAUGCAAAUUCGUGAAGCAUUCCAUACUUUU
This 107-nucleotide small nuclear RNA is filed under the name Jaculus jaculus (lesser Egyptian jerboa). The record is from RNAcentral. Lineage: Eukaryota; Metazoa; Chordata; Mammalia; Rodentia; Dipodidae.